RNAcentral lists this ribosomal RNA (465 nucleotides) under uncultured bacterium. Its description in RNAcentral is "partial 16S ribosomal RNA". It matches the Rfam family "Bacterial small subunit ribosomal RNA", at positions 28 to 507 of the family's 1533-position model. The record is from RNAcentral.
GACGAACGCUGGCGGCGUGCUUAACACAUGCAAGUCGAACGGAAAGGCCCUGCUUGCAGGGUACUCGAGUGGCGAACGGGUGAGUAACACGUGGGUGAUCUGCCCUGCACUUCGGGAUAAGCCUGGGAAACUGGGUCUAAUACCGGAUAGGUGCCAUUUUUAGUGUGAUGGUUGGAAAGUUUUUUCGGUGUUGGCUGAGCUAGCGGCCUAUCAGCUUGUUGGUGGGGUAAUGGCCUACCAAGGCGGCGACGGGUAGCCGGCCUGAGAGGGUGGACGGCCACAUUGGGACUGAGAUACGGCCCAGACUCCUACGGGAGGCAGCAGUGGGGAAUAUUGCACAAUGGGCGCAAGCCUGAUGCAGCGACGCCGCGUGGGGGAUGACGGCCUUCGGGUUGUAAACUCCUGUCGCUAGGGACGAAGCUUUUUGUGACGGUACCUAGAUAAGAAGCACCGGCUAACUACGUG